UGAGGAAUUUUGCGCAAUGGACGAAAGUCUGACGCUGCGACACCACGUGAAUGAUGACGUCUUUCGGGAUGUAAAGUUCUGUCAGCAGGGACAAUAAUGAUGGUACCUGCAGAGGAAGCACCGGCUAACUAUGUGCCAGCAGCCGCGGUAAUACAUAGGGUGCAAGCGUUGUUCGGAAUUACUGGGCGUAAAGCGCAUCAAGGCGGCAAUCUAAGUCAAAUUUGAAAUACAGGGGCUCAACCCCUGUCCGGGUUUGAAACUGGAAUGCUAGAGUUUGGGAGAGGAAAGCGGAACUAACAGUGUAGCGGUGAAAUGCGUAGAUAUUGUUAGGAACACCCGUGGCGAAGGCGGCUUUCUGGACCAAAACUGACGCUGUCGUGCGAGAGCAUGGGGAGCAAAC
RNAcentral lists this ribosomal RNA (400 nucleotides) under uncultured bacterium. RNAcentral's name for it is "bacterial SSU rRNA". It matches the Rfam family "Bacterial small subunit ribosomal RNA", at positions 355 to 773 of the family's 1533-position model. The record is from RNAcentral.